UAGCGGCGGACGGGUGAGUAAUGCUUAGGAAUCUGCCUAUUAGUGGGGGACAACGUUCCGAAAGGGACGCUAAUACCGCAUACGUCCUACGGGAGAAAGCAGGGGAUCUUCGGACCUUGCGCUAAUAGAUGAGCCUAAGUCGGAUUAGCUAGUUGGUGGGGUAAAGGCCUACCAAGGCGACGAUCUGUAGCGGGUCUGAGAGGAUGAUCCGCCACACUGGGACUGAGACACGGCCCAGACUCCUACGGGAGGCAGCAGUGGGGAAUAUUGGACAAUGGGGGCAACCCUGAUCCAGCCAUGCCGCGUGUGUUGAAGAAGGCCUUUUGGUUGUAAAGCACUUUAAGCGAGGAGGAGGCUUACCUGGUUAAUACCCGGGAUAAGUGGACGUUACUCGCAGAAUAAGCACCGGCUAACUCUGUGCCAGCAGCAGC
RNAcentral lists this ribosomal RNA (431 nucleotides) under uncultured bacterium. RNAcentral's name for it is "bacterial SSU rRNA". It matches the Rfam family "Bacterial small subunit ribosomal RNA", at positions 93 to 518 of the family's 1533-position model. The record is from RNAcentral.